CGUGGGUAACCUGCCCAAGAGAUCGGGAUAACACCUGGAAACAGAUGCUAAUACCGGAUAACAACAGAUGAUGCCUAUCAACUGUUUAAAAGAUGGUUCUGCUAUCACUCUUGGAUGGACCUGCGGUGCAUUAGCUAGUUGGUAGGGUAACGGCCUACCAAGGCGAUGAUGCAUAGCCGAGUUGAGAGACCGAUCGGCCACAUUGGGACUGAGACACGGCCCAAACUCCACGGGAGGCAGCAGCG
RNAcentral lists this ribosomal RNA (245 nucleotides) under uncultured Lactobacillus sp. RNAcentral describes it as "partial 16S ribosomal RNA". It matches the Rfam family "Bacterial small subunit ribosomal RNA", at positions 116 to 356 of the family's 1533-position model. Lineage: Bacteria; Bacillati; Bacillota; Bacilli; Lactobacillales; Lactobacillaceae. The record is from RNAcentral.